AUUGAACGCUGGCGGCAGGCUUAACACAUGCAAGUCGAGCGGAGAUGAGGUGCUUGCACCUUAUCUUAGCGGCGGACGGGUGAGUAAUGCUUAGGAAUCUGCCUAUUAGUGGGGGACAACAUUCCGAAAGGAAUGCUAAUACCGCAUACGUCCUACGGGAGAAAGCAGGGGAUCUUCGGACCUUGCGCUAAUAGAUGAGCCUAAGUCGGAUUAGCUAGUUGGUGGGGUAAAGGCCUACCAAGGCGACGAUCUGUAGCGGGUCUGAGAGGAUGAUCAGUCACACUGGGACUGGGCUGCGGCCCAGACUCCUCCUGGAGGCAGCAGUGGGGAAUAUUGGACAAUGGGGGAAACCCUGCUCCAGCCAUGCCUGGUGUGUGAAGAAGGCCUUAUGGUUGUAAAGCACUUUAAGCGAGGAUGAGGCUACUGAGACUAAUACUCUUGGAUAGUGGACGUUACUCGCAGAAUAAGCACCGGCUAACUCUGUGCCAGCCGCCGCAGUAA
RNAcentral lists this ribosomal RNA (501 nucleotides) under uncultured bacterium. Its description in RNAcentral is "partial 16S ribosomal RNA". It matches the Rfam family "Bacterial small subunit ribosomal RNA", at positions 30 to 523 of the family's 1533-position model. The record is from RNAcentral.